RNAcentral lists this signal recognition particle RNA (298 nucleotides) under Saimiri boliviensis boliviensis (Bolivian squirrel monkey). RNAcentral describes it as "Metazoan signal recognition particle RNA (ENSSBOG00000007429.1)". It matches the Rfam family "Metazoan signal recognition particle RNA". From Rfam's summary of the family: The signal recognition particle (SRP) is a universally conserved ribonucleoprotein. It is involved in the co-translational targeting of proteins to membranes. The eukaryotic SRP consists of a 300-nucleotide 7S RNA and six proteins: SRPs 72, 68, 54, 19, 14, and 9. Lineage: Eukaryota; Metazoa; Chordata; Mammalia; Primates; Cebidae. The record is from RNAcentral.
GCCAGGCUCGGUGGUGUAUGCCUGUAGUCCCAGCUAUUCGGGAGGCUGAGGCUGAAGGAUCUCUUGAGUCCAGGAGUUCUGGGCUGUAGUGCACUAUGCUGAUCGGGUGUCCACACUAAGUUUGGCAUCAGUAUGGUGAUGUGCUGGGAGCAGGGACCACCAGGUUGCCUAAGGAAGGGUGAACCAGCCCAGGUCGGAAACGGAGCAGGUCAAAACUCCGGUGCUGAUCAGUAGUGGGACUGCGCCUGUGAAUAGCCACUGCACUCCAGCUUGGGCAACAUAGUGAGACCCCUUCUUA